Non-coding RNA from Gopherus flavomarginatus (Mexican gopher tortoise), 73 nucleotides. Lineage: Eukaryota; Metazoa; Chordata; Testudines; Testudinidae. The record is from the annotation of a RefSeq genome assembly.
GUUUCUGUAGUGUAGUGGUUACCACGUUUGGUUUAUAUGCAAAAGGUCCCUGGUUCAAAACCAGGUAGAAACA